Molecule: long non-coding RNA, 541 nt
Filed under: Salmo trutta (river trout)
Lineage: Eukaryota; Metazoa; Chordata; Actinopteri; Salmoniformes; Salmonidae
Description: lncRNA (ENSSTUG00000015798.1)
Source: RNAcentral
CUACAAGUGUGAUCGGGGAUUUCUAUUGGAGAAGUACUUUUAGCCUAUCUUGAUAUUCCAUACAACGCAACUAACUCACUGUUCCACCAAACAUGCAAUUGCUCAGCGCCAUCUACAGAUAUUAGAUUAGUGAUGCACUUUAAACGUUUAGUGCAGUGACAUCACAUGUUAAAACUUAGUUAAAAGUAUCUUUGGUAACCUGUGCUAACAUUUAGACCUGCAACGGAAAAGCAUCAUGCAAUAAAGGCAUUUUACUACCGGUAAAGAACCAAGUUCCUUCCUCGUCUCUUCAAUAGAGUAGUGCAGAUGUGUUCUAUCAGCCCACUCAGGGGAUGGCCUUCCACACAGCAUCACUACCAACAGUAUCUCUGCACAUGUUGGUUGUGAGACAGCAGAGCUCCACUGGAGAGAGUGUGUUAGCCUGAGUCUGAGCCUUGAGCCUACUGCAGGAGUUCUACACGCAUCCAAGUCUUGCCUUGUCCAGCCCAAUCCAGCUAUUUUCUGACCUGCCAAGCCCAGUCGAACCCAGCACAGCCCAAUC